CGAGUAAGCUAUGCGGUUGAACGCAGCUGUCCAAUCGGACAGCAGAACGCGUUAGGAAAGUCCGAGCAUCACAGAGCAGGGUAGCUGCUAACGGCAGCCGAGGGCGACCUUAGGGCAAGUGCAACAGAGAUAUACCGCCGCAGUUUCUGCGGUAAGGGUGGAAAGGCGGGGUAAGAGCCCACCGGAGCAGCGGAGACGCUGCUGCCAUGUAAACCCUAUCCGAUGCAACGUCUAAUUGGAACAAUGCGUUAUUGUCUGCUCGGCAGGCGUAUUGUUAUGACGGCUGGAGCGUUUCGGCGACGAUUCGCCAAGAUAGAUUUCCGCACACGACAAAACUCGGCUUAUCGGCUUAGUCGCUAC
This 360-nucleotide RNase P RNA is filed under the name Oscillospiraceae bacterium. RNAcentral's name for it is "RNase P RNA component class A". It matches the Rfam family "Bacterial RNase P class A". From Rfam's summary of the family: Ribonuclease P (RNase P) is a ubiquitous endoribonuclease, found in archaea, bacteria and eukarya as well as chloroplasts and mitochondria. Lineage: Bacteria; Bacillati; Bacillota; Clostridia; Eubacteriales; Oscillospiraceae. The record is from RNAcentral.